RNAcentral lists this ribosomal RNA (133 nucleotides) under Lactarius resimus. RNAcentral's name for it is "partial 26S ribosomal RNA". It matches the Rfam family "Eukaryotic large subunit ribosomal RNA", at positions 1 to 132 of the family's 3401-position model. Lineage: Eukaryota; Fungi; Basidiomycota; Agaricomycetes; Russulales; Russulaceae. The record is from RNAcentral.
UUGACCUCAAAUCGGGUGAGACUACCCGCUGAACUUAAGCAUAUCAAUAAGCGGAGGAAAAGAAACUAACAAGGAUUCCCCUAGUAACUGCGAGUGAAGCGGGAAAAGCUCAAAUUUAAAAUCUGGCGGUCUU